This 403-nucleotide ribosomal RNA is filed under the name Helicobacter pylori. RNAcentral's name for it is "partial 16S ribosomal RNA". The record is from RNAcentral. Lineage: Bacteria; Pseudomonadati; Campylobacterota; Epsilonproteobacteria; Campylobacterales; Helicobacteraceae.
UGAUUUUACCCCCUACACCAAGAAUUCCACCUACCUCUCCCACACUCUAGAAUAGUAGUUUCAAAUGCAGUUCUAUGGUUAAGCCAUAGGAUUUCACACCUGACUGACUAUCCCGCCUACGCGCUCUUUACGCCCAGUGAUUCCGAGUAACGCUUGCACCCUCCGUAUUACCGCGGCUGCUGGCACGGAGUUAGCCGGUGCUUAUUCGUUAGAUACCGUCAUUAUCUUCUCUAACAAAAGGAGUUUACAAUCCUAAAACCUUCAUCCUCCACGCGGCGUUGCUGCUUCAGGGUUUCCCCCAUUGAGCAAUAUUCCCUACUGCUGCCUCCCGUAGGAGUCUGGACCGUGUCUCAGUUCCAGUGUGUCCGUUCACCCUCUCAGGCCGGAUCCCCCGGUCAUAGCA